RNAcentral lists this ribosomal RNA (468 nucleotides) under uncultured bacterium. RNAcentral describes it as "partial 16S ribosomal RNA". It matches the Rfam family "Bacterial small subunit ribosomal RNA", at positions 28 to 507 of the family's 1533-position model. The record is from RNAcentral.
GACGAACGCUGGCGGCGUGCUUAACACAUGCAAGUCGAACGGAAAGGCCCUGCUUUUGUGGGGUGCUCGAGUGGCGAACGGGUGAGUAACACGUGAGUAACCUGCCCUUGACUUUGGGAUAACUUCAGGAAACUGGGGCUAAUACCGGAUAGGAGCUCCUGCUGCAUGGUGGGGGUUGGAAAGUUUCGGCGGUUGGGGAUGGACUCGCGGCUUAUCAGCUUGUUGGUGGGGUAGUGGCUCACCAAGGCUUUGACGGGUAGCCGGCCUGAGAGGGUGACCGGCCACAUUGGGACUGAGAUACGGCCCAGACUCCUACGGGAGGCAGCAGUGGGGAAUAUUGCACAAUGGGCGGAAGCCUGAUGCAGCAACGCCGCGUGCGGGAUGACGGCCUUCGGGUCGUAAACCGCUUUCGCCUGUGACGAAGCGUGAGUGACGGUAAUGGGUAAAGAAGCACCGGCUAACUACGUG